Long non-coding RNA from Parus major (Great Tit), 2042 nucleotides. RefSeq lists it as uncharacterized. NCBI's taxonomy places the organism in Eukaryota, Metazoa, Chordata, Aves, Passeriformes, Paridae. The transcript is spliced from 3 exons. The record is from RefSeq and is a predicted model, not a curated record.
AGAGAUUUUAGCUGAAGAAUAAAAUUGGCUCUUGAACCUGAAGAAGAAUCUGCCUCUUCCUACCUCAUCCUGGCCCCUGUGCCUCGCCAGAGAGGUGUACUACAAAGAGAUUUUCCCUUCAGUAAGUGUGUCAGCCUCAGCCUUUUGUGCUGCUCAGUUACAUGCUCCCUCUGACAGAAAAAUAGGUGCAGAUGCAAAUUUGUGUCUUAAUAUGUGAGAACCAGAUAAAAUUAGAGCAAGACGUGGUAACAGUGUAAAUCAAAAUAUUUGAGCACAGACUCCUGCUUCAGGAUUUCCUUUAUCCACUAACCACAAGGGAAUGGCCUCCCAGGUACCUAAGCAUUUGCAAACUCAGGCCUGCUGAUGAAAAUCCAAGUUUCAUGUGAAAAUAACUGGAUGACAAUUUGCAAAUCUAAAAAAUGCAAAUCUAUUCCCUUCCCUGGAGUGGAGAAUGCAACAUCAGGGCAACUUGCAACUGAAGGAAUCAUGAAGGAUGUGCUGAAAAGUUCAUUUUGCAGACCUAUAUUUUCUCUUUCUCAAAUAUUUGCAUUUAAAACCAUAUUAAUAUCGUAAGUUUUUAUGGAAAAAAAAUCCUGGCAAAAAAGGGAAUUUGUUUACAAACAUUUACAGAUCAGCCUUGAAAGUGAUUUAAGGUCAGAUGGAAAUGCCAUUCUGCAGAGUACAAUUUGUACUCUUCACUCCAGAAAAAAAGUUACAGAAUGAAAAUGACCUGCUGGCUCUGACAAAUAACUUCCUGAUGAAUGACUGACACGAGAGGGAAGGGUACACUUUUGUUUCAUUAUUAACUUUUUCUUAACUCUUAAACAUAUAAUUUCCCCCUCAUUUUAAGUCCGAAACAACAUAAUUUCACAAAUGGAUGUUUUCUGGAGUAGGUUGGGUUCUUUUUUUUUACUAUUAUUUCAUAAUCUUCACAGAGUCUGCCAGGUGUUAAAGAUAUGCCCUCCUUUCCCAAAACACACAAUCCAAGACAGGUACUCCUAGCACCUUACACUGAGGUUGUUGAAGCUCAUAAGAACUGCCAAGCUGUCACUCACUUGAAGCCCAGCUCAAUAACCAGCCAAGUGAAAAGCUGCUUGACUUAAAAGUAUAAAUAAAAAAUAGACAGUGUGCAUCUAGUGUAGAAAUAUCAUGAAGUGUCCCUCUUUAAGCUCUGAAAACCACACAUGCAGACACUUCGCAGGCAAGAAGUGCUAUAAAUGCAGAGCAUAAAAGCACCACAGAUUAAAUACUGCCACGGUCUCCUGUGUGAAGCACUGCAGCACCCCUUAGAAAGGGUCCAGGCUGGGCUCAGCUUCAUGCCCCGAGGUCAUGAGUCAUUCUGGAGAUGGCGGUUUGCAUGUGAAAGGAGCCGUGUGUAAUUUCGGAUUUCGUAGAAGAGAGUCAUCUCCCUUUUACCUCCUCACCGAUUUCCUGCAUCGUGCCUCGGGCUGCAGCCUUCAGAGUUUGCCUUUCCCCAUCCCGUGCUGGAGUGACACAGGCUGCUCCAGUGUCUAUGGAGGAGGUGGGAGAAGAACAGUGGAAAACCCCAGGGAGUACAGCAAAGAGCAAAAAAGCCAACAAAAUAAGCAUUGAGGGCAUUUCCAAGCCAGUUUUCAGUAAAGAGCACUGAAAAACUCCAGUUGGAUUCACUGGGUAUCAUCACUGUGAUGGCCAGUAUUUGUAUUUCCAAUACGCCUACCUCAAUAAAAGGGAUGUUUCAUUUUCAGUUGAACUCAAAACAGUUAAGUUAAAUUAAAUAUAAUUAAAAACUUCAAGAGGUUUUAUGCUCAGAGAUAACUUUUACCUUCCAGCCAAAUACUUUUGACCUUUCAGCAAAUGAGGGCAGCAUAACAGACAUGGUAGAAAAAAGAAUCUACACAGAGAUGCUCACCCCUCUAAUAGUCCUGUUUUCCUUACGUCCUUCUUAUAAGCAGGACAUCAACCUUUGCUAGCAGAAGGUAUUCUAGACCUGAACGCUGUAGCAUCAUUAGCUUUUCACAACCUGAAGUUCCAUUACCAAAAAAAACCCAACAAAACCACAG